AUUGAACGCUGGCGGCAUGCCUUACACAUGCAAGUCGAACGGUAACAGGUCUUCGGAUGCUGACGAGUGGCGAACGGGUGAGUAAUACAUCGGAACGUGCCCGAUCGUGGGGGAUAACGGAGCGAAAGCUUUGCUAAUACCGCAUACGAUCUACGGAUGAAAGCAGGGGACCGCAAGGCCUUGCGCGGACGGAGCGGCCGAUGGCAGAUUAGGUAGUUGGUGGGAUAAAAGCUUACCAAGCCGACGAUCUGUAGCUGGUCUGAGAGGACGACCAGCCACACUGGGACUGAGACACGGCCCAGACUCCUACGGGAGGCAGCAGUGGGGAAUUUUGGACAAUGGGCGAAAGCCUGAUCCAGCCAUGCCGCGUGCAGGAUGAAGGCCUUCGGGUUGUAAACUGCUUUUGUACGGAACGAAAAGACUCUUUCUAAUAAAGAGGGUCCAUGACGGUGCCGUAAGAAUAAGCACCGGCUAACUACGUG
This 482-nucleotide ribosomal RNA is filed under the name uncultured bacterium. RNAcentral describes it as "partial 16S ribosomal RNA". It matches the Rfam family "Bacterial small subunit ribosomal RNA", at positions 30 to 507 of the family's 1533-position model. The record is from RNAcentral.